RNAcentral lists this ribosomal RNA (1536 nucleotides) under Pectobacterium carotovorum subsp. carotovorum. Its description in RNAcentral is "16S ribosomal RNA". It matches the Rfam family "Bacterial small subunit ribosomal RNA". The record is from RNAcentral. Lineage: Bacteria; Pseudomonadati; Pseudomonadota; Gammaproteobacteria; Enterobacterales; Pectobacteriaceae.
AAGAGUUUGAUCAUGGCUCAGAUUGAACGCUGGCGGCAGGCCUAACACAUGCAAGUCGAGCGGUAGCACAGAAGAGCUUGCUCUUUGGGUGACGAGCGGCGGACGGGUGAGUAAUGUCUGGGAAACUGCCUGAUGGAGGGGGAUAACUACUGGAAACGGUAGCUAAUACCGCAUAACCUCGCAAGAGCAAAGAGGGGGACCUUCGGGCCUCUCGCCAUCAGAUGUGCCCAGAUGGGAUUAGCUAGUAGGUGAGGUAAUGGCUCACCUAGGCGACGAUCCCUAGCUGGUCUGAGAGGAUGACCAGCCACACUGGAACUGAGACACGGUCCAGACUCCUACGGGAGGCAGCAGUGGGGAAUAUUGCACAAUGGGCGCAAGCCUGAUGCAGCCAUGCCGCGUGUGUGAAGAAGGCCUUCGGGUUGUAAAGCACUUUCAGCGAGGAGGAAGGCGGUGAGGUUAAUAACCUCAUCGAUUGACGUUACUCGCAGAAGAAGCACCGGCUAACUCCGUGCCAGCAGCCGCGGUAAUACGGAGGGUGCAAGCGUUAAUCGGAAUGACUGGGCGUAAAGCGCACGCAGGCGGUCUGUUAAGUUGGAUGUGAAAUCCCCGGGCUUAACCUGGGAACUGCAUUCAAAACUGACAGGCUAGAGUCUUGUAGAGGGGGGUAGAAUUCCAGGUGUAGCGGUGAAAUGCGUAGAGAUCUGGAGGAAUACCGGUGGCGAAGGCGGCCCCCUGGACAAAGACUGACGCUCAGGUGCGAAAGCGUGGGGAGCAAACAGGAUUAGAUACCCUGGUAGUCCACGCUGUAAACGAUGUCGAUUUGGAGGUUGUGCCCUUGAGGCGUGGCUUCCGGAGCUAACGCGUUAAAUCGACCGCCUGGGGAGUACGGCCGCAAGGUUAAAACUCAAAUGAAUUGACGGGGGCCCGCACAAGCGGUGGAGCAUGUGGUUUAAUUCGAUGCAACGCGAAGAACCUUACCUACUCUUGACAUCCAGAGAAUUUGCUAGAGAUACCUUAGUGCCUUCGGGAACUCUGAGACAGGUGCUGCAUGGCUGUCGUCAGCUCGUGUUGUGAAAUGUUGGGUUAAGUCCCGCAACGAGCGCAACCCUUAUCCUUUGUUGCCAGCGAUUCGGUCGGGAACUCAAAGGAGACUGCCGGUGAUAAACCGGAGGAAGGUGGGGAUGACGUCAAGUCAUCAUGGCCCUUACGAGUAGGGCUACACACGUGCUACAAUGGCGUAUACAAAGAGAAGCGACCUCGCGAGAGCAAGCGGACCUCAUAAAGUACGUCGUAGUCCGGAUUGGAGUCUGCAACUCGACUCCAUGAAGUCGGAAUCGCUAGUAAUCGUAGAUCAGAAUGCUACGGUGAAUACGUUCCCGGGCCUUGUACACACCGCCCGUCACACCAUGGGAGUGGGUUGCAAAAGAAGUAGGUAGCUUAACCUUCGGGAGGGCGCUUACCACUUUGUGAUUCAUGACUGGGGUGAAGUCGUAACAAGGUAACCGUAGGGGAACCUGCGGUUGGAUCACCUCCUUA